AAAAGUACAAAAGAUCUAGGAUGCCAAAUAUAUCCUUGGUUAAAUUGGAGGCAUUUUUAUCAUCUUUAAUUUGCUAGGGGAAGGAGUUAGAAGAGGAGACCAAGCAGAUCAAGAGAAGACUGUGGUACAAAACCAAGGCAUUCCUCCUAUCUCGCCAAAUCAGCAAACAUAUCUUGAAUAUCUCAAAUCAUUCUUCAAGAACAUCUUCGGUCAAGUUCUUAGAGCAAUUGUCUUCCU
Molecule: long non-coding RNA, 237 nt
Filed under: Elaeis guineensis (African oil palm)
Lineage: Eukaryota; Viridiplantae; Streptophyta; Magnoliopsida; Arecales; Arecaceae
Description: long non-coding RNA (EGUI_LNC001832)
Source: RNAcentral